AAGUGAUUCAAUUUCAUAUAUAUAUAUAUAUAUAUGUGUGUGUGUGUGUGUGUGUGUGUGUGUAUACAUAUAUACAUACAUAUACACUCAAAAUAUUGAGUAUA
RNAcentral lists this microRNA precursor (104 nucleotides) under Ovis aries (sheep). RNAcentral's name for it is "miRNA (ENSOARG00000023054.1)". The record is from RNAcentral. Lineage: Eukaryota; Metazoa; Chordata; Mammalia; Artiodactyla; Bovidae.